This 482-nucleotide ribosomal RNA is filed under the name uncultured bacterium. RNAcentral describes it as "partial 16S ribosomal RNA". It matches the Rfam family "Bacterial small subunit ribosomal RNA", at positions 30 to 507 of the family's 1533-position model. The record is from RNAcentral.
AUUGAACGCUGGCGGCAUGCUUUACACAUGCAAGUCGAACGGUAACAGGCCGCAAGGUGCUGACGAGUGGCGAACGGGUGCGUAAUGCAUCGGAACGUGCCCAGUCGUGGGGGAUAACUACUCGAAAGAGUAGCUAAUACCGCAUACGAUCUAUGGAUGAAAGCGGGGGACCGUAAGGCCUCGCGCGAUUGGAGCGGCCGAUGUCAGAUUAGGUAGUUGGUGGGGUAAAGGCUCACCAAGCCAACGAUCUGUAGCUGGUCUGAGAGGACAACCAGCCACACUGGGACUGAGACACGGCCCAGACUCCUACGGGAGGCAGCAGUGGGGAAUUUUGGACAAAGGGCGCAAGCCUGAUCCAGCAAUGCCGCGUGCAGGAAGAAGGCCUUCGGGUUGUAAACUGCUUUUGUACGGAACGAAACGGCUCUGGUUAAUACCCGGGGCUAAUGACGGUACCGUAAGAAUAAGCACCGGCUAACUACGUG